Labrus bergylta (ballan wrasse) is the source of this 1274-nucleotide non-coding RNA. The record is from RefSeq and is a predicted model, not a curated record. NCBI's taxonomy places the organism in Eukaryota, Metazoa, Chordata, Actinopteri, Labriformes, Labridae.
GCUUGCCUUGUAUGCAUUUUACAGAGGAGCAGCAGGUCAACCACAGCAUCCAUCAUAAUUACUACAAGUGCCUGACUGGGAGAGGUGAGACAACGCCUGCUUCCAUUUCCUCCCCUCACUGUAACGUGAACACCGCGAACUCCUGAGUGAGACGAGGCUCAUAACGGUUCCUGUAUUUAGAGAGCUCUCAUGCCACCGUGUGGAGAGAGUGCCGCUGUGUACCCAGCAACAAAGCAAGAUCACAAUGUGCCAUGGGAGUCAGGGAGUCAUUUCGUAAGGCUGUGGCUCAGUUGGUAGAGUUGUCGUUCCGGUCGAGGGUUCGAUCCCCUGCAGCCACAUGUCCGAUGUGUCCUUGGGCAAGACCCUUAACCCCCGAAUUGCUCCCGCUGCCUCAUGGGCGGCAUUUGAAUGUAUGAAUGGAAUUAGUGACUUCUGAUGGACUCUCUGCAUAUCAGCCUCUACCGUGUGAACGGGUAAGUGUAACCUGUGGUGAGUGUUCUUACUUUGAGUAGUAAGCAGACUAGAAAAGCACUAUAAGCUCAAGUCCAUUGAUCAUUAACAUCCACGUAGUGUACCAUGCAAUAUUUAGCUGCUUAAUAACCUCUGAUCAUACAGUAUGGACUUGACCCUCUGCACUUUAUUGAACUUGCUACUGAAAUCCCUCGUGUAAUCAUGUGAUGCUUAAAAUGACGUAUUCUAUUUUUUUUAAUGGUUUUGUUUUAAUGUGCUUAAAAUGAAGGUUUUGUUACUGGUAUUGUUUUUUUAUGGUGUACAGUAAGGCAAAUUCGCUUGGGGCAAUAAAGGGUUUCAUUCAGUCAUUCGAGUCGCACUCUUCUUAUGCUAUACCUCAUUAUUCAUAUUGUUUACCAUCCUACCUACUGUAUUUCAUAUUGAUUUAUGUUAUAUAAACUGUAAUUUAACUUUUUAUUUGUACAUUCUUUAACUUCUACAUUGAAUAUUCCAGAUCAAACCGCAUUAAAUACUUCAUUAUUCUGUACUGCUCUACAUGUAUGUUUUAACAGAUCAUCAUCUUAUCUCUCACUUCCUCUUAAUGCACCUUUUACUAUAAUAAACCUAAUACCUCAUAUCAAACUGUAUGUCAUUCGUCGUCACUGCUGUUUCCACAACUAGCUGCCAAAUAAUCAUACCUGGUCACUUUAAUUUACCAAGGCAAGGCAAGUUUAUUUAUAUAGCACAUUUCAACAACAAGGCAGUUCAAAGUGCGUCACACAAGACAAAAGCAUCAUGACAGAGGAAAGAAAAGAAACAUUAAA